RNAcentral lists this ribosomal RNA (462 nucleotides) under Androctonus mauritanicus. RNAcentral describes it as "partial 12S ribosomal RNA". The record is from RNAcentral. Lineage: Eukaryota; Metazoa; Arthropoda; Arachnida; Scorpiones; Buthidae.
ACCGUAAAAGUGAAGAAAUUUUAGUUUUAAUUAUGAAGUUUUGAGGUGAAAAGAAAAGUUUUCUUUUGAGGUAAAAUUGAAAGCAAGUAAUUUUUUCAAAAUUGGAACUUUAAAAAUUUUUGAAUGAGACUAGGAUUAGAUACCCUAUUAUUAUUAAAAAAAAAGAAAUUAGGUAGUAUUGGAAGACUUGAAACUUAAAGAAUUUGGCGGUGUUUUAAUCCUAUCAGAGGAACUUGCGUUAUAAAUCGAAAUUACUCGUUUUAUCUUACUUAAAUUUUGUUUGUAUAUCGUCGUAAAAAUAAAACUUUUAAGUGGAUAUUAAAAUUUAUUUAAUGAAAAAUUACAGAUCAAGGUUCAGCUAUAUUUAAGAAAACGUGAGUUACAUUGUUUUAGAAACAAAUGAAUAAUUUCUUGAAAAGAGAUUUGAAGGUGGAUUUGAAAGUAUGUUAGAAAUAAAAAUUC